This 396-nucleotide ribosomal RNA is filed under the name uncultured bacterium. RNAcentral's name for it is "partial 16S ribosomal RNA". It matches the Rfam family "Bacterial small subunit ribosomal RNA", at positions 523 to 918 of the family's 1533-position model. The record is from RNAcentral.
CUACGUAGGGGGCGAGCGUUGUCCGGAAUGAUUGGGCGUAAAGGGCGCGUAGGCGGCUUUGCAAGUCAGUAGUGGAAGUCCAUUUUUCAAGGAUGGAAGUGCUACAGAAACUGCGGAGCUUGAGUGCAGGAGAGGUUAUCGGAAUUCCCGGUGUAGCGGUGAAAUGCGUAGAGAUCGGGAGGAACACCAGUGGCGAAGGCGGGUAACUGGACUGCAACUGACGCUGAGGCGCGAAAGUGUGGGGAGCAAACAGGAUUAGAUACCCUGGUAGUCCACGCUGUAAACGAUGAUUACUAGGUGUGGGGGGACUGACCCCUUCCGUGCCGCAGUUAACACAAUAAGUAAUCCACCUAGGGAGUACGGCCGCAAGGUUGAAACUCAAAUGAAUUGACGGGG